UGGGGAAUUGUUCACAAUGGGCGCAAGCCUGAUGACGCAACGCCGCGUGGGGGAUGAAGGUCUUCGGAUCGUAAACCCCUGUCGAAUGGGACGAAAGACUCGCGAGUGAAUACUUCGCGAGAGUGACGGUACCGUUAAAGGAAGCCACGGCUAACUCUGUGCCAGCAGCCGCGGUAAUACAGAGGUGGCAAGCGUUGUUCGGAAUUACUGGGCGUAAAGGGCGCGUAGGCGGCCCUCUAAGUCAGACGUGAAAUCCCCCGGCUUAACCUGGGAACUGCGUCUGAUACUGGAGGGCUUGAGUAUGGGAGAGGGAUGUAGAAUUCCGGGUGUAGUGGUGAAAUGCGUAGAGAUCCGGAGGAACACCAGUGGCGAAGGCGACACGCUGGGCCGCACCUGACGCUAAGACGCGACAGCAUGGGGAGCAAACAGGAUUAGAUACCCGAGUAGUCCCUGAGCGGGCUGGCAAGGCGCAU
RNAcentral lists this ribosomal RNA (473 nucleotides) under uncultured bacterium. RNAcentral describes it as "bacterial SSU rRNA". It matches the Rfam family "Bacterial small subunit ribosomal RNA", at positions 355 to 825 of the family's 1533-position model. The record is from RNAcentral.